Molecule: long non-coding RNA, 641 nt
Filed under: Arabidopsis lyrata
Lineage: Eukaryota; Viridiplantae; Streptophyta; Magnoliopsida; Brassicales; Brassicaceae
Description: long non-coding RNA (ALYR_LNC002207)
Source: RNAcentral
CUCCACUGUUAUUUACUUGAUCAGCGAUGGCUCACGCUUCAUGACAGGCACCACUGUCUUGGUGGAUGGAGCGCAGUCCCUUACGCGACCCCGUCUCAAAUCCUACAUGUGAUCAAAACAGAGUAUUAUAAUUCUAUGUUGUGUGUGUUUACUGUAAAAAGUGAACAUGAAUCAAGUUUGAAUAACUUUGGAGGGAUGAAUAAUCCAUCCAUCGAAGCAAAGCAAUGAUUAUAUACUUUUGACAAAUAUAGAAGAAAGCAAAUAGCCAAAAUAGGCAACAAUCUCAACAUGAUUCGAGCCCACUGUUUAUUUGAACAAUCAACUUUGGUAGGUGAACCUCAAAUACACGUGAUAGGGAUAUUAUCUUCUUAACCUUGCUAUAUACCAAAUUGUUAAGCAAAUAAGAAAAGAAUGAUUACCCUCAGAGAUCUAGAUGCUUGAAAUUUGAAUCCAUUGCACCAAAAGUUGAAAGUCCAAGGAGUUGCAUAUAUAUAUAUAUAUAAUAAUGUAAAUGAGAAUGGUGAAGCCGCCACACCUUUUUUACUAAUUCCACCAAACUCUUUUCUUUGAGAUGGAUCCGCUAAUGUAGCCAUUUUCAAUAUAUCUCACUUUCUCUGGCAUCUUCGCUGCCGUCUACGUCU